Molecule: long non-coding RNA, 766 nt
Filed under: Macaca nemestrina (pig-tailed macaque)
Lineage: Eukaryota; Metazoa; Chordata; Mammalia; Primates; Cercopithecidae
Description: lncRNA (ENSMNEG00000046081.1)
Source: RNAcentral
CUAAUCCCAUUCAUGAGAGCUCCACCUUCAUGACCUAAUCACCUCCCAACAGCCCCAUCUCCUAAUACCAUCACAUUGGUGAAUAAAUGUAAGCAUAUGAAUUUCAGAGGAACACAAACAUUCAGACCAUAGCAAGGAGGCUCAAUGCCUUGAGGUCCUCACAUGAUUUUGUUAUGUCCCUCUAGCCACACAGUGUUCAGGGAAUCCUUUUCAUCCUUCCCCAAACCGAGGAUAUAUUGUCAACAGAUAUUACAGUUUAUUAUCGGAGCUCUUCCCUCUGCCUCUGUUAACCACGUUGACUCCAGUCCCUAGCCCUGACCAUAGAACAUUAAACCCUCCUGCUAUUUCCAGGCCUCACUGUGAAAAGCAAUUCGAUGUGGAUGCACAUGGCUCUUUCCUGACCUCUAAGAUCUCAAGCCACCAUCUCUCUCACUUUGAGCUUCUGUGGUCCUGUCUAAAGAGCGGGCAUGGUUGCUACGAUUUGCUCAGGGUCGUUGUCAAGUCACCUUGCAAGAUAACAGCCGGCUGAGUCACCGCUAGCACCUAGACUUACUUUCAGCAAGGAGUCCAACACUACUGGCGGAAAUCCUGUGCCUCUAACAAGCUCAGCCUCUCUGUGGGACGUUCUUCGGGAUCCCUCCGCAGGAGCGCCUGUCCUUUGGGAGGAAGAAGAGCCAACUGGGGUCGUUUGCCUUGGUCUCCUCUCUUCGCUACAUCCACCUAAAGGUAAAAAUAUACCUCACUGGCCUACUUUAAGUAAGAAGUG